This 243-nucleotide ribosomal RNA is filed under the name uncultured Actinomycetales bacterium. RNAcentral describes it as "partial 16S ribosomal RNA". It matches the Rfam family "Bacterial small subunit ribosomal RNA", at positions 88 to 333 of the family's 1533-position model. Lineage: Bacteria; Bacillati; Actinomycetota; Actinomycetes; Actinomycetales. The record is from RNAcentral.
UACUCGAGUGGCGAACGGGUGAGUAACACGUGGGUGAUCUGCCCUGCACUUCGGGAUAAGCCUGGGAAACUGGGUCUAAUACCGGAUAGGAGCCAUUUUUAGUGUGAUGGUUGGAAAGUUUUUUCGGUGUAGGAUGAGCUCGCGGCCUAUCAGCUUGUUGGUGGGGUAAUGGCCUACCAAGGCGGCGACGGGUAGCCGGCCUGAGAGGGUGGACGGCCAACAUUGGGACUGAGAUACGGCCAG